This 461-nucleotide ribosomal RNA is filed under the name uncultured bacterium. Its description in RNAcentral is "bacterial SSU rRNA". It matches the Rfam family "Bacterial small subunit ribosomal RNA", at positions 339 to 797 of the family's 1533-position model. The record is from RNAcentral.
CUACGGGAGGCAGCAGUAAGGAAUAUUGGUCAAUGGGCGGGAGCCUGAACCAGCCAUGCCGCGUGCAGGAAGACGGCCUUAUGGGUUGUAAACUGCUUUUGUCGGGGAAUAAACCUGUCUACGAGUAGAUAGCUGAAGGUACCCGAAGAAUAAGCAUCGGCUAACUCCGUGCCAGCAGCCGCGGUAAUACGGAGGAUGCAAGCGUUAUCCGGAUUCAUUGGGUUUAAAGGGUGCGCAGGCGGAUUAAUAAGUCAGUGGUGAAAUUCUAGUGCUUAACAUUAGAGCUGCCAUUGAUACUGUUAGUCUCGAGUAUAGUUGGAGUGGGCGGAAUGUGUCAUGUAGCGGUGAAACGCUUAGAUAUGACACAGAACACCGAUCGCGAAGGCAGCUCACUAAGCUAAAACUGACGCUCAUGCACGAAAGCGUGGGGAUCAAACAGGAUUAGAAACCCGUGUAGUCCG